This 21-nucleotide small nuclear RNA is filed under the name Arabidopsis thaliana (thale cress). RNAcentral's name for it is "snRNA_04208". The record is from RNAcentral. Lineage: Eukaryota; Viridiplantae; Streptophyta; Magnoliopsida; Brassicales; Brassicaceae.
AGGUAUUAUCCACUACAAGAA